CAGAAAAUAGUAUAUAUUUAUUAAAAGUACAUAAAUUUUGGAUAUUUAAAGAGAAUUAUCUUUUCUGA
RNAcentral lists this transfer RNA (68 nucleotides) under Ixodes ovatus. Its description in RNAcentral is "tRNA-Pro". Lineage: Eukaryota; Metazoa; Arthropoda; Arachnida; Ixodida; Ixodidae. The record is from RNAcentral.